CCUACGGGUGGCAGCAGUGGGGGAUAUUGCACAAUGGGGGGAACCCUGAUGCAGCGACGCCGCGUGGGUGAAGGAGUAUUUCGGUAUGUAAAGCCCUAUCGGCAGGGAAGAAAUUGGACGGUACCUGACUAAGAAGCCCCGGCUAACUACGUGACAGCAGCCGCGGUAAUACGUAGGGGGCAAGCGUUAUCCGGCUUUACUGGGUGUAACGGGAGCGUAUACGGUUAUGUAAGUCUGGAGGGAAAGCCCGGGGCCCAAACCCGGGACUGCUUUGGAAACGGUGUAACUGGAGUACAGGAGGGGCAGGCGGAAUUCGUGGUGUAGCGGUGAAAUGCGUAGAUAUCAGGAGGAACACCGGCGGCGAAGGCGGCCUGCUGGACUGAAACUGACGUUGAGGCUCGAAAGCGUGGGGAGCAAACAGGAUUAGAUACCCGAGUAGUC
This 441-nucleotide ribosomal RNA is filed under the name uncultured bacterium. Its description in RNAcentral is "partial 16S ribosomal RNA". It matches the Rfam family "Bacterial small subunit ribosomal RNA", at positions 338 to 795 of the family's 1533-position model. The record is from RNAcentral.